RNAcentral lists this ribosomal RNA (392 nucleotides) under uncultured bacterium. Its description in RNAcentral is "partial 16S ribosomal RNA". It matches the Rfam family "Bacterial small subunit ribosomal RNA", at positions 523 to 918 of the family's 1533-position model. The record is from RNAcentral.
AUACGGAGGAUCCGAGCGUUAUCCGGAUUUAUUGGGUUUAAAGGGUGCGCAGGCGGCCAUUUAAGUCGGCGGUUAAAUCGUGGGGCUCAACCCCAUUCUGCCGUUGAUACUGGGUGGCUUGAUUGCGGUCGAGGUUGGCGGAAUUCGUUGUGUAGCGGUGAAAUGCAUAGAUAUGACGAAGAACACCGAUUGCGUAGGCAGCUGACCAGACCGCAAAUGACGCUCAUGCACGAAAGUGCGGGGAUCGAACAGGAUUAGAUACCCUGGUAGUCCGCACAGUAAACGAUGAAUACUUGUUUUCGGCGAUAUAAUGUCGGAGGCAAAGCGAAAGCGAUAAGUAUUCCACCUGGGGAGUACGCCGGCAACGGUGAAACUCAAAUGAAUUGACGGGG